AUUUUCCCUAAAACCACCGAGGUCCCGACCUCUCUUCCCCGAUCCCUUUCUCUUCUCCCUCACACGCUCUCUUCUCUUGAUGCCAUCGCUGACAUGGGAGCCGUCGAUCAUCUUCUCUUCGUCGGCGCAGCCUCAUCGCCGAUCGCCAAAGAGAUCGCACCGACGGGCCGAGCCUCCCUCUCAAGGUGUGGAGUCUUUCCCUCUUCCUCUCCACUUCUUCUCAUGCGAUCGGAGCAGACGGCGCCAUUGGACCCAUUUUCGAUCGAGCCUUCCUCCUCCUUUCCUUCGAGGUGUGGAGUCUUUUCCCUUCCUCGCGUUUGAGUCCACCGUCGGCUGUCGAAUCCGAACGAGGCAGUAACGAGUUCGUCAAGGAGGUUCGUCACUUAACCCUCUCCACCAGAUCUCGACUCUUUGUCUUCGUCAGCAUGGAUCUGUGGCCGAUCCUCCUCUCGAUUUCUUCUGCCCGAUGCUGAGCCACAGCGCCGUCAACGCCAAUCAACCCACCGCCGGUCACAAGGAGGAGGAUCUGAACCCUAGAUUCGGUCCCUCGUUGCCUCACUCGUGUGCUGUGGUUUCGAUCAUUGGAGCCUCUAUUUCAGCCGAGGUUUUGUUGCCAUCUACAUUGUCGUCGGCUACUUGUUGCAAGAAAUGGUUACUAGGCCAGUGAACCUUUGGAGAAGGGAUUGUUGACAAGGAAUUAAGGUUUCGGCCACCACAACUUCAAUUGGGGAUCGGUUUCUUCGCCGGAUCUGUGAUCAACACCGACAAUUAAAAUAGAAGAGGUUGCUGGAGAUGUUUCUGUGUGUAAUAUGAUCUGGGAUUGUAUUAGUUGAGAUUGAUCUUGGGUCAGAUCUGAAAUUGUUGGAGGAAGCUAAGGACUUUGUUUCGGGACGAGCAUCUCGAUAUCGGAUUUCGGGACACGAUUGACAGAUAAAGGUAGCAGGUAAAUGAUUUAUGGAGUCGCCUGGAGAGCCUGUCCGCCAGUCCCACGUCACAU
Zingiber officinale is the source of this 997-nucleotide long non-coding RNA. RefSeq lists it as uncharacterized. The transcript has 4 exons. The record is from RefSeq and is a predicted model, not a curated record. NCBI's taxonomy places the organism in Eukaryota, Viridiplantae, Streptophyta, Magnoliopsida, Zingiberales, Zingiberaceae.